This 76-nucleotide transfer RNA is filed under the name Prevotella sp. CAG:592. RNAcentral describes it as "transfer RNA-His(GTG)". It matches the Rfam family "tRNA". Rfam says of the family: Transfer RNA (tRNA) molecules are approximately 80 nucleotides in length. Their secondary structure includes four short double-helical elements and three loops (D, anti-codon, and T loops). The record is from RNAcentral. RNAcentral also lists the same sequence under 1 other name. Lineage: Bacteria; Pseudomonadati; Bacteroidota; Bacteroidia; Bacteroidales; Prevotellaceae.
GUGGCUGUAGUUCAGUUGGUUAGAGCGUCAGAUUGUGGUUCUGAAUGUCGUGGGUUCGAGCCCCACCAGCCACCCA